This 252-nucleotide ribosomal RNA is filed under the name uncultured bacterium. Its description in RNAcentral is "partial 16S ribosomal RNA". It matches the Rfam family "Bacterial small subunit ribosomal RNA", at positions 524 to 776 of the family's 1533-position model. The record is from RNAcentral.
UACGGGGGAUGCGAGCGUUGUCCGGAUUCACUGGGCGUAAAGGGCGCGUAGGCGGCCCGGUCAGUCGGCGCUCUAAGUGCGGGGCUCAACCCCGUGAUGGCGCCGGGACGGCCGGGCUGGGGCGCGGCAGAGGGAGACGGAAUGCCGGGUGUAGUGGUGAAAUGCGUAGAGAUCCGGCGGAACACCGGUGGCGAAGGCGGUUCUCUGGGCAUUACCUGACGCUGAGGAGCGAAAGUGUGGGGAGCGAACAGG